RNAcentral lists this small RNA (87 nucleotides) under Pseudomonas aeruginosa. RNAcentral's name for it is "isrK". The record is from RNAcentral. Lineage: Bacteria; Pseudomonadati; Pseudomonadota; Gammaproteobacteria; Pseudomonadales; Pseudomonadaceae.
GUCGUCGCAAAAUCGGCGACCGGGUGUGGAAGCCCGACCAGCAGUAGGCGCAGCAGCGCCCAUAACUCCAUUGCAGGCGCUUUUUUU